AACGAACGCUGGCGGCAUGCCUAACACAUGCAAGUCGAACGAGACCUUCGGGUCUAGUGGCGCACGGGUGCGUAACGCGGGGGAACCUGCCCUUAGGUUCGGAAUAACUCCCCGAAAGGGGUGCUAAUACCGGAUAAUGUCUUCGGACCAAAGAUUUAUCGCCUUUGGGUGGGCCCGCGUUGGUUUAGCUGGUUGGUAGGGUAAAAGCCUACCAAGGCGACGAUCCAUAGCUGGUCUGAGAGGAUGCUCAGCCACACUGGGACUGCGACACGGCCCAGACUCCUACGGGAGGCAGCAGUGGGGAGUAUUGGACACUGGGCGAAAGCCUGGUCCAGCAAUGCCGCGUGAGUGAUGAAGGCCUUAGGGUUGUAAAGCUCUUUUACCCGGGAUGAUAAUGACAGUACCGGGUGAAUAAGCUCCGGCUAACUCCGUG
This 433-nucleotide ribosomal RNA is filed under the name uncultured bacterium. RNAcentral's name for it is "partial 16S ribosomal RNA". It matches the Rfam family "Bacterial small subunit ribosomal RNA", at positions 29 to 507 of the family's 1533-position model. The record is from RNAcentral.